UACGAAGGGGGCUAGCGUUGUUCGGAAUUACUGGGCGUAAAGCGCACGUAGGCGGACUAUUAAGUCAGGGGUGAAAUCCCGGGGCUCAACCCCGGAACUGCCUUUGAUACUGGUAGUCUCGAGUCCGGAAGAGGUGAGUGGAAUUCCGAGUGUAGAGGUGAAAUUCGCAGAUAUUCGGAGGAACACCAGUGGCGAAGGCGGCUCACUGGUCCGGUACUGACGCUGAGGUGCGAAAGCGUGGGGAGCAAACAGG
Molecule: ribosomal RNA, 253 nt
Filed under: uncultured bacterium
Lineage: Bacteria
Description: partial 16S ribosomal RNA
Rfam family: Bacterial small subunit ribosomal RNA
Source: RNAcentral